UUGAACUGUGCAUGACAGGUGUAGAGAUACACCCUCCGCAAGGCAUGUACAGAGGUGCUGCAUGGUUGUCGUCAGCUCGUGUCGUGAGAUGUUGGGUUAAGUCCCGCAACGAGCGCAACCCCUACCCUUUGUUGCUACCAGAUAAUGCUGGGCACUCUAAGGGAACUGCCGGUGAUAAACCGGAGGAAGGUGGGGAUGACGUCAAAUCAUCACGGCCCUUAUGUCCAGGGCUACACACGUGCUACAAUGGCCGGUACAAAGCGUUGCAAACCUGCGAAGGGGAGCCAAUCGCAAAAAACCGGUCUCAGUUCAGAUUGCAGUCUGCAACUCGACUGCAUGAAGCUGGAAUCGCUAGUAAUCGUGGAUCAGAACGCCACGGUGAAUACGUUCCCGGGCCUU
This 399-nucleotide ribosomal RNA is filed under the name uncultured Leptospiraceae bacterium. Its description in RNAcentral is "bacterial SSU rRNA". It matches the Rfam family "Bacterial small subunit ribosomal RNA", at positions 981 to 1382 of the family's 1533-position model. Lineage: Bacteria; Pseudomonadati; Spirochaetota; Leptospiria; Leptospirales; Leptospiraceae. The record is from RNAcentral.